Molecule: long non-coding RNA, 298 nt
Filed under: Elaeis guineensis (African oil palm)
Lineage: Eukaryota; Viridiplantae; Streptophyta; Magnoliopsida; Arecales; Arecaceae
Description: long non-coding RNA (EGUI_LNC051915)
Source: RNAcentral
GGGUGUGUUGCCAUUGAUUUGGCGUGUGAUUAGAAGAGAACCAUCUCUUCUUUAGUGAGAGUUCAGCAUUGGUGCUGAAUUAUUUUUGAGAGAGAGAGUUAAGAUUAGAGAAAAGUUAUUUUCUUUGAUUUUCUUCUAAUGUUUGACAAUCACCAUUGAUCUAUCUUCAAUCUCAAAAGGAUUUGAGGUGCUUUCAGAAGAAGAUCAAAUUAGAUCAGCCAUCAGGAGCGAUCUUCACGUGAUUUAGCAAUCUCGAAAGAUCAGAUCAGUACGAGAGCUUCAUGUGGAUGAUUCAUAG